GAAUUUUGCGAGUUCUAACCGCUAUAAUUACGUUAUGUCCUCAUGUGUGUAGCAUGAAUGAACAAACGGGAUAAAUGGUCAAGCAAUUGACGACAGGCGUUAAGCUAGUAUUUCACAUUCACUGAAGAAUCUAGAUAAACCAUUUCGUAAACUACUGUUUUUGUCAACGUUACGUAACAUAUUAUAAUCGUUUGGAUCACAAAAACCUUUAGUACCACUUCAAUUAAGAAGAAAAUUAUUUGCCUUCGACUUUUUCGGUUAUUUUCUUACUUAGUAUAAUAAGGUUUUUGCUAAGGUGAUGACAGAGAGAACGAUUUGCAAAAAGUUUGAAUAUAAGAUAUUUUUAGUAAGUUUAAUCCAUUUCAAUUAGUUGAAUAAAUUGAUGUUGAAGAAGGUGAUGGAACAGGUGUUCAGAUUUAUGUAUCGCAUGAUUGUUCAUGAAAAUGACUUAAUGUCCUCUAAAUAUUGAUAGUAAUAGUUCACCACUUUAGGAAAUAAUGAACAAGGAGUUUUGUAUUUCAUAGGGAUUAAUCUUCAAUUGUUUUAACUCAAACAUAGUCAUACACGUUGACAUUUUUUAUGCGCCUAAAAUUUUCUACCAUAUCAUACAGGUAUCGGUAAUUGCUCUAAGUCGAAAUGCUCGUUCACAUCACGCUUUGAUGUCAUGUGAAUGAAAACGAGUAAAAAAGAUUCUUAAGAUGUAGAAUUUAUUAAUUCGAAUUAGAAAGAUGACUAAUCCCACCAUGGAGAUUGCUCCAAACUUUCACUAUUCAGGAAAGCAAACCUAACAUUUUCCUGUUUGCCCAGUUUUUCCUUAUUAUUUUCAGAGCCAAAGAGGUCGAUUAACGAGUUUUCUAUUGGGCAUAGAUAAUUGUCUUCUUGAACUUGAAUAUGUUCAUUAUGAUAUAUAUUGCACUCCUCUGGUGCUGGAAGGAAAAGAGAUAGCUCCGUAUCUUUUUUGGAAUUUCGGUAUUUUAGAUAUCGCAGAAAAUUUAAUAAAGCACAUAAAAAUGCUGUCAGA
This is a non-coding RNA of Schizosaccharomyces pombe (fission yeast), 1021 nucleotides long. The record is from the annotation of a GenBank genome assembly. NCBI's taxonomy places the organism in Eukaryota, Fungi, Ascomycota, Schizosaccharomycetes, Schizosaccharomycetales, Schizosaccharomycetaceae.